UCACCUGAGGGGCCCAGUCGCGUCCGGCCUCCCGAGGGGGCUGCGAGUGUCAGUCGGCUCUGCGCACGUGUCCACGGCCAGGCGGAGCAGCCAUACAAGCUAUUUGGCAUAUGAAGGUCUUGACCUGAGAAAACCAUCUUGGAUAACCACAGCAAGGAAAAGGAAAAAUGCAACACCUAGGAGAUUUCAGUAAACAGUAGAAUCAUGCCAACCUAAUCUGUGUUAAAAUGCUUGGAAUGUGGGAGCCGCUGAUGAUGCCUGUUGUCUGUGUGUCUGACUGAAUCCUUUCUUUUCUCAGAGCAGCAAAGCAAAGCCUGGGAACCAGGCCAAAUGCCUGCCACUUACCUUAAAUUGAUCAGCCACUUUGAGAUUAAAACCCCUGAAAGCUGCCACACCGUGAAAACAAGGCCUCCUUCACAUUAAAGGCAAAUUGCGACUUUG
This is a non-coding RNA of Saimiri boliviensis boliviensis (Bolivian squirrel monkey), 441 nucleotides long. The record is from RefSeq and is a predicted model, not a curated record. Lineage: Eukaryota; Metazoa; Chordata; Mammalia; Primates; Cebidae.